Molecule: RNA transcript, 1711 nt
Organism: Rosa chinensis
Lineage: Eukaryota; Viridiplantae; Streptophyta; Magnoliopsida; Rosales; Rosaceae
Exons: 3
Source: RefSeq, a predicted model, not a curated record
UGUUAAAUUAUAGUUGUUUCAGUAAAAAUGAAGUAUGAUUCAGUGAUUUCCAGAAGCAUUCAUCGGCUUGAGCAGAAGAGACUAAGAUAUGGAGCAUUUCCUUGUUUCUUCCUGAUAGCAUUAUGCUUUCGCAUAGUGCUCGAGCUUGGUCUGAUUCGACCAGCUUUGAACUUGCAGCUGUCAGUAUUCAAAGGUGAACUUGACUGGGAGAUGGGAAUCGAAAGAUAUUAUAGAUGUCAGUCUUGAAGUAGGAGACUUUGGUCUACGGGAAAAUGAGAGACAUGAACCAGAUGCAGAGACAAAUAUUGCAGAAGUUGUGACAAAGAAUUUGGAGCUGAUUUGCAAUGUUAAGGGAUGGAGAAAUGUGUUUUGCGAGAUCAAAAAGGAUGUUCGGGUGGAUGGGAAAUCGGCUCCAGUGUUUAUUGUUUCAUCUGAAAUGGAUCUAGGAAAUGGAAUAGCUCCUGGACAAUAAGACCAUAUGCUCGAAAAGAAGAUAAAAGGGCAAUGAGGGAUACACGAAAAUGGUCAGUGCAACAAGUAACUAGUUUCCAGGAAAUGCCUCAAUGUACACGAAAUCACACUGUUCCAGGCAUCUUGUUUUCAACUGGAGGAUAUACAGGAAACCAUUUCCAUGAAUUUGCUGAUGUGGUUAUUCCGCUCUAUAUUAAUUCUCAAAAAUAUGAUGGAGAAGUUCAAUUUCUUAUCACUGACAAACGAUCUUGGUGGAUUACAAAGGACAAAGCAGUACUACAAGGACCAUCCAAGUAUGAGGCUAUUAACAUUGAUGAAGAUGUAGUCCAUUGCUUCCCAAUCACAACAGUUGGCCUUAAACGACAUCCCAAGGAUCUGAUCCUUGAUCCUUCACUAUAUUCCUAUUCUAUGAAAGAGAUUUCCUAGGAAACACAUAUUCCUUGAACAAAGCUAAUGCAAUCAGAAUCCGAGAUGUUCAACGUAAAAAACCCCGACUCCUGAUCAUAUCUAGAAGCAGAACGAGGUCUUUCACAAAUACAGAGGAAAUUACUAGGAUGGCUAGAAGCUUGGGAUAUGAGGUAACUGUUGCAGAGGCUGACAAAAACAUGUCAAAAAUCGCAGAAGUUGUGAAUUCUAGUGAUGUGUUAAUGGGACUCCAUGGAGCUGGCCUUGCAAACAUUCUUUUCCAUCCUGAAAAUGCAAUUUUUAUUCAAAUACUUCCUGUAGGAGGAUUCGAAUGGACUGCAGCAAACUACUUCCGAGAGCCUUCAAGAGAUAUGAAUCUGAAGUAUUUGGAAUACAAGAUAAGCAAGGAGAGCAUAUUGGAAAGUGAACCCCAAUUGAAUAAAAAAAAAAAAGGGGAUGGGAAGAGAGUUUGACUUGGAAUUCUGAAAAGACAGAAUCUAAAGCUUGAUGUCGAUAGGCUUAGGUCGACUUUGUUAAAAGCCCUGGAGCUUCUGCAUCAGUAAUCAGUUGCUUAUUUUCUAGUCGUAACAAGCUCCUCCCGAAAUCUUUUCCUUUAAGAAGAUAAUGCCAUUAGUCAAGAGCUCGCUAAUAAGCUUAUGUGAUUUGUGUACCAGAGUCAACAAAAGUUGAAAUGCAGUUCAUAUAGCUUAAUGUGCUCUUCUUUUACUCUAUUAUAUAGACUCAAUGAGAGCAUUUAGCAGAUGGAGAGCACUAAUGUGUUUGCUCGGUCAGUUGUACGGCGAGAAUGCAACAAUUGAAACCUCUACACAACACG